This 59-nucleotide transfer RNA is filed under the name Fukomys damarensis (Damara mole-rat). It matches the Rfam family "tRNA", at positions 7 to 64 of the family's 71-position model. Rfam says of the family: Transfer RNA (tRNA) molecules are approximately 80 nucleotides in length. Their secondary structure includes four short double-helical elements and three loops (D, anti-codon, and T loops). The record is from Rfam by way of RNAcentral. Lineage: Eukaryota; Metazoa; Chordata; Mammalia; Rodentia; Bathyergidae.
AUAGCUCAAUGGUAGAGCAUUUGCCUAGCAAGUGUAAGGCCCUGGGUUCAAUCCCCAGU